RNAcentral lists this ribosomal RNA (212 nucleotides) under uncultured bacterium. RNAcentral describes it as "partial 16S ribosomal RNA". It matches the Rfam family "Bacterial small subunit ribosomal RNA", at positions 1288 to 1500 of the family's 1533-position model. The record is from RNAcentral.
ACGUUCGGAUUGCAGCCUGCAACUCGGCUGCAUGAAGCCGGAAUCGCUAGUAAUCGCGGAUCAGAAUGCCGCGGUGAAUACGUUCCCGGGUCUUGUACACACCGCCCGUCACACCAUGGGAGUCGGAAAUGCCCGAAGUCUGUGACCUAACCGUAAGGAAGGAGCAGCCGAAGGCAGGUCGGAUGACUGGGGUGAAGUCGUAACAAGGUACC